RNAcentral lists this ribosomal RNA (253 nucleotides) under uncultured bacterium. Its description in RNAcentral is "partial 16S ribosomal RNA". It matches the Rfam family "Bacterial small subunit ribosomal RNA", at positions 524 to 776 of the family's 1533-position model. The record is from RNAcentral.
GACGUAGGAUGCGAGCGUUGUCCGGAUUUAUUGGGCGUAAAGAGUUCGUAGGUGGUUUGUUAAGUCUGGUGUUAAAUACUGAAGCUCAACUUCGGAACUGCACUGGAUACUGGCAGACUUGAGUAUGGUAGAGGCGAGCGGAAUUCCCAGUGUAGCGGUGAAAUGCGUAGAUAUUGGGAAGAACACCGGUGGCGCAAGCGGCUCGCUGGGCCAUAACUGACACUGAGGAACGAAAGCUAGGGGAGCAAAUGGG